UCUGUAAUGCAGCUAUCGAGGGUUUUCGAUAACGGUUCCAAGCCCGUACAAUGCAGAGGACAGA
RNAcentral lists this non-coding RNA (64 nucleotides) under unclassified sequences. The record is from RNAcentral.